UCUGUGAGCCACUGAUGUAUUG
Molecule: unclassified non-coding RNA, 22 nt
Filed under: Mus musculus (house mouse)
Lineage: Eukaryota; Metazoa; Chordata; Mammalia; Rodentia; Muridae
Description: oocyte_clustered_small_RNA12378
Source: RNAcentral